RNAcentral lists this ribosomal RNA (485 nucleotides) under Boninia sp. 214385980. RNAcentral describes it as "SSU rRNA". It matches the Rfam family "Eukaryotic small subunit ribosomal RNA", at positions 98 to 578 of the family's 1831-position model. The record is from RNAcentral. Lineage: Eukaryota; Metazoa; Platyhelminthes; Polycladida; Boniniidae.
UCAUUAAAUCAGCUAUGGUUCCUUGGAUCGUGUCUUCUACAUGGAUAACUGUGGGAAUUCUAGAGCUAAUACAUGCACCAAAGCCGUGACCGCAAGGGAACGGCGCAUUUAUUAGAUCAAAACCAACCGGACUUCGGUCUGAGUUGUUUGAUGACUCUGGAUAAACUUGAGCAGAUCGCAUGGCCAUGCGCCGGCGACGUAUCCUUCAAUGUCUGCCCUAUCAACUUACGUUGGUAGGUUACCUGCCUACCAUGGUGAUCACGGGUAACGGGGAAUCAGGGUUCGAUUCCGGAGAGGGAGCAUGAGAAACGGCUACCAGAACUACGGUUUGCAGCAGGCGCGCAAAUUACCCACUCCCGGUACGGGGAGGUAGUGACGAAAAAUAACAAUACGGGUCUUUUUAUAGGCCCCGUAAUUGGAAUGAGUACACCUUAAAACCAUUAACGAGUACCAAUUGGAGGGCAAGUCUGGUGCCAGCAGCCGCG